Neogale vison (American mink) is the source of this 193-nucleotide long non-coding RNA. RefSeq lists it as uncharacterized. The record is from RefSeq and is a predicted model, not a curated record. The transcript is spliced from 3 exons. Lineage: Eukaryota; Metazoa; Chordata; Mammalia; Carnivora; Mustelidae.
UCACAUACAAGUUUUUGUGCAGAAAUGUUCUAGUUUAUCUUGAAGGAUACCUAUGAGUGGGAAUGCUGAAUUUUAAGCUGUACAAUACAGUGGUUCAAAAAUUCUGUACAUCACUCAGUGCUCAUCACGAGAAUAAUCUGGUGAAUUACAACUGGUUGAAUAAUUACAAUGUAAAAAUGGCAGUCAAAGGAUC